UGGGGAAUAUUGGACAAUGGGGGCAACCCUGAUCCAGCCAUGCCGCGUGUGUGAAGAAGGCCUUUUGGUUGUAAAGCACUUUAAGCAGGGAGGAGAGGCUAAUGGUUAAUACCCAUUAGAUUAGACGUUACCUGCAGAAUAAGCACCGGCUAACUCUGUGCCAGCAGCCGCGGUAAUACAGAGGGUGCGAGCGUUAAUCGGAAUUACUGGGCGUAAGGCGAGUGUAGGUGGCUCAUUAAGUCACAUGUGAAAUCCCCGGGCUUAACCUGGGAACUGCAUGUGAUACUGGUGGUGCUAGAAUAUGUGAGAGGGAAGUAGAAUUCCAGGUGUAGCGGUGAAAUGCGUAGAGAUCUGGAGGAAUACCGAUGGCGAAGGCAGCUUCCUGGCAUAAUAUUGACACUGAGAUUCGAAAGCGUGGGUAGCAAACAGGAUUAGAUACCCUGGUAGUCCACGCCGUAAAACGAUGUCUACUAGCCGUUGGGGUCCUUGAGACUUUAGUGGCGCAGUUAACGCGAUAAGUAGACCGCCUGGGGGAGUACGGCCGC
Molecule: ribosomal RNA, 545 nt
Filed under: uncultured bacterium
Lineage: Bacteria
Description: partial 16S ribosomal RNA
Rfam family: Bacterial small subunit ribosomal RNA
Source: RNAcentral